GGGAAUAUAGCUCAAUGGUGGAGCACUUGCCUAGCAUGCAUAUAGCCCUAGAUUCAAUCUCUAGUCCA
Molecule: transfer RNA, 68 nt
Filed under: Ictidomys tridecemlineatus (thirteen-lined ground squirrel)
Lineage: Eukaryota; Metazoa; Chordata; Mammalia; Rodentia; Sciuridae
Description: Spermophilus tridecemlineatus (thirteen-lined ground squirrel) tRNA
Rfam family: tRNA
About the family: Transfer RNA (tRNA) molecules are approximately 80 nucleotides in length. Their secondary structure includes four short double-helical elements and three loops (D, anti-codon, and T loops).
Source: Rfam by way of RNAcentral